RNAcentral lists this long non-coding RNA (477 nucleotides) under Helianthus annuus (common sunflower). Its description in RNAcentral is "hypothetical non coding rna". The record is from RNAcentral. Lineage: Eukaryota; Viridiplantae; Streptophyta; Magnoliopsida; Asterales; Asteraceae.
AUGUCAGCUUUAAUCUCCUUCCCAAGGAUGGGGGAUUUAAUACAUGUGCGUUCAAUUUAUAACAUUAAGUCUCACUUAAUAUAUUUUCAUUUCUAAUUCCAAAUAUAAAUAUUUUUCUCAAAAAUAUUAUAUUUCCAUUUCACAUAAUUUUUCCCCAAAAAUAAUACGUUGAUAAAAUAUUCGUUCACAAUCAUUUCCGUAUAAUGCGUAAGUUCCGUUUUAGUAAUCGUGUGGUAAUAAUAAUUACCGUUGUAACUUAUAUGUUUAUCGUGAAAGCGUUCGUAUUAUUUUGGAUUCGUCAACGUUUGUAAAUAUUAUUUUUACUCUAAAAAUAAUAUUUGUGUAUUUUCACAAAAUAAUCAUAAACAGUGUUGUGAAAAAUUAUAUUUACCAAAUAUAUAUUUAUCACGUUUAAUUUUGUGAAAAUCCCACCUCCGAAUAUUUGUAAAUAAAGUCAUGGCGAAAUAUAUUUUGAAA